GGAACACGUACGCAACCUUCCUUUAAGCGGAGAAUAGCCCAGGGAAACUUGGAUUAAUACUCCAUAAGAUUAUGGUGUGGCAUCACACAGUAAUUAAAGCUCCGGCACUUAAAGAUGGGCGUGCGGCUGAUUAGGUAGUUGGCGGGGUAACUGGCCCACCAAGCCUACGAUCAGUAACUGGUGUGAGAGCACGACCAGUCACACGGGCAUCUGAGACACGGGCCCGACUCCAUACGGGAGGCAGCAGUAAGGAAUAUUGGUCAAUGGACGCAAGUCUGAACCAGCCAUGCCGCGUGGAGGAUGAAGGCCCUCUGGGUUGUAAACUUCUUUUAUCUGGGAAGAAACCCAUCUUUUCUAAGGUGGUUGACGGUACCAGUUGAAUAAGCACCGGCUAACUCCGUGCCAGCAGCCGCGGUAAUACGGAGGGUGCAAGCGUUAUCCGGAUUCACUGGGUUUAAAGGGUGCGUAGGUGGGCAGGUAAGUCAGUGGUGAAAUCUCCGGGCUUAACCCGGAAACUGCCGUUGAUACUAUCUGUCUUGAAUGUAGUGGAGG
Molecule: ribosomal RNA, 552 nt
Filed under: uncultured bacterium
Lineage: Bacteria
Description: bacterial SSU rRNA
Rfam family: Bacterial small subunit ribosomal RNA
Source: RNAcentral